RNAcentral lists this ribosomal RNA (361 nucleotides) under Podarcis siculus (Italian wall lizard). RNAcentral's name for it is "partial 12S ribosomal RNA". It matches the Rfam family "Bacterial small subunit ribosomal RNA", at positions 868 to 1395 of the family's 1533-position model. The record is from RNAcentral. Lineage: Eukaryota; Metazoa; Chordata; Lepidosauria; Squamata; Lacertidae.
UCCGCCAGAGAACUACGAGUGAAAAACUUAAAACUCAAAGGACUUGACGGUGUCCCAUAUCGGCCUAGAGGAGCCUGUCCUAUAAUCGAUACCCCCCGUUCCACCCAACCCCAACUAGCAAAACAUCAGCCUAUAUACCGCCGUCGACAGUUUACCCUAUGAAGGUCCAAUAGUAGACACAACAGCCCUAACGCUAAUACGUCAGGUCAAGGUGUAGCAAAUGCUGGGGAAGAGAUUGGCUACAUUUUUUAUGAUAAAAAACACGAAUUGCACCAUGAAAAAGUGCAUGAAGGUGAAUUUAGUAGUAAAACAGAUAAGAGUGUCUGUUUUAACAACGCUCUGGGACGCGUACACACCGCCC